RNAcentral lists this ribosomal RNA (461 nucleotides) under uncultured bacterium. RNAcentral describes it as "partial 16S ribosomal RNA". It matches the Rfam family "Bacterial small subunit ribosomal RNA", at positions 338 to 795 of the family's 1533-position model. The record is from RNAcentral.
CCUACGGGUGGCAGCAGUGAGGAAUAUUGGUCAAUGGACGCAAGUCUGAACCAGCCAUGCCGCGUGCAGGACGAAGGUGCCAAGCAUUGUAAACUUCUUUUGUCCAGGGACAAACUCAGGCACGCGAACCUGACCGAGGGUACUUGAAGAAAAAGCAUCGGCUAACUCCGUGCCAGCAGCCGCGGUAAUACGGAGGAUGCUAGCGUUAUCCGGAUUUAUUGGGGUUAAAGGGUGCGUAGGCUGUGCGGUAAGUUAGCGGUGAAAUGCCCCGGCUCAACGGGGUGAAGUGCCAUUGAUACUGUCUGGCUGGAGUGUAGAUGCGGUAGGAGGAAUGUGUGGUGUAGCGGUGAAAUGCUUAGAGAUCACACAGAACACCGAUUGCGAAGGCAGCUUACGAAUCUGCGAUUGACGUUGAGGCACGAAAGCGUGGGGAGCAAACAGGAUUAGAUACCCGUGUAGUC